CGGAGGGGGCUAGCGUUGUUCGGAAUUUACUGGGCGUAAAGCGCACGUAGGCGGCUUUGCAAGUUAGAGGUGAAAGCCCGGGGCUCAACCCCGGAAUUGCCUUUUAAGACUGCAGAGCUAGAAUCCGGGAGAGGUGAGUGGAAUUCCGAGUGUAGAGGUGAAAUUCGUAGAUAUUCGGAAGAACACCAGUGGCGAAGGCGGCUCGACUGGACCGGCAUUGACGCUGAGGUGCGAAAGCGUGGGGAGCAAACAGGAUU
RNAcentral lists this ribosomal RNA (257 nucleotides) under uncultured bacterium. RNAcentral describes it as "partial 16S ribosomal RNA". It matches the Rfam family "Bacterial small subunit ribosomal RNA", at positions 526 to 779 of the family's 1533-position model. The record is from RNAcentral.